UACCCAAGGCAGAGGGGACAGAGCCCAUCAGAAUCUCUUCAUGCAUAUAGUGUCAAGGACUUUACCUAAGCAGAUGGUAAAAUGGACCUCUAACCUGAUUUCUGGUUGACAAGACUACCAAAACUGAUUGGUACAUACUCAUGAGCUAGUGAAACAGAGCUCCGAGAGACACAAAGAGGAUGCACCCUAUCUAGAACUUUCUUUGUGUGGUCCA
RNAcentral lists this long non-coding RNA (214 nucleotides) under Cavia porcellus (domestic guinea pig). Its description in RNAcentral is "lncRNA (ENSCPOG00000039746.1)". Lineage: Eukaryota; Metazoa; Chordata; Mammalia; Rodentia; Caviidae. The record is from RNAcentral.